This 492-nucleotide ribosomal RNA is filed under the name uncultured bacterium. Its description in RNAcentral is "partial 16S ribosomal RNA". It matches the Rfam family "Bacterial small subunit ribosomal RNA", at positions 29 to 507 of the family's 1533-position model. The record is from RNAcentral.
AGUGAACGCUGGCGGUAGGCCUAACACAUGCAAGUCGAACGGCAGCACAGUAAGAGCUUGCUCUUACGGGUGGCGAGUGGCGGACGGGUGAGGAAUACAUCAGAAUCUACUUUUUCGUGGGGGAUAACGUAGGGAAACUUACGCUAAUACCGCAUACGACCUACGGGUGAAAGCAGGGGAUCUUCGGACCUUGCGCGAUUGAAUGAGCCGAUGUCGGAUUAGCUAGUUGGCGGGGUAAAGGCCCACCAAGGCGACGAUCCGUAGCUGGUCUGAGAGGAUGAUAAGCCACACUGGAACUGAGACACGGUCCAGACUCCUACGGGAGGCAGCAGUGGGGAAUAUUGGACAAUGGGCGCAAGCCUGAUCCAGCCAUACCGCGUGGGUGAAGAAGGCCUUCGGGUUGUAAAGCCCUUUUGUUGGGAAAGAAAAGCAGCAGGUUAAUACCCCGCUGUUCUGACGGUACCCAAAGAAUAAGCACCGGCUAACUUCGUG